Molecule: ribosomal RNA, 409 nt
Filed under: uncultured bacterium
Lineage: Bacteria
Description: bacterial SSU rRNA
Rfam family: Bacterial small subunit ribosomal RNA
Source: RNAcentral
ACUCCUACGGGAGGCAGCAGUGGGGAAUAUUGCACAAUGGGGGAAACCCUGAUGCAGCCAUGCCGCGUGUGUGAAGAAGGCCUUGGGUUGUAAAGCACUUUCAGUAGGGAGGAAGGUAGUGUAGUUAACACCUGCAUUAUUUGACGUUACCUACAGAAGAAGCACCGGCUAACUCCGUGCCAGCAGCCGCGGUAAUACGGGAGGGUGCGAGCGUUAAUCGGAAUUACUGGGCGUAAAGCGCAUGCAGGCGGCCUGUUAAGUCAGAUGUGAAAGCCCGGGGUCUUAACCGUCGGAAUUGCAUUUGAAACUGGCAGGCUAGAGUCUUGUAGAGGGGUUAGAAUUUCGAGGUGUAGCGGUGAAAUGCGUAGAGAUCUGAAGGAAUACCGAGUGGCGAAGGCGGCCCCUGGAC